GGGGAAUAUUGCACAAUGGAGGAAACUCUGAUGCAGCAACGCCGCGUGAGUGAUGAAGGUUUUCGGAUCGUAAAGCUCUGUUGCCAGGGAAGAACGUCCGUUAGAGUAACUGCUAACGGAGUGACGGUACCUGAGAAGAAAGCCCCGGCUAACUACGUGCCAGCAGCCGCGGUAAUACGUAGGGGGCGAGCGUUGUCCGGAAUUAUUGGGCGUAAAGCGCGCGCAGGCGGCUGUUUAAGUCUGGUGUUUAAUCCUGGGGCUCAACCCCGGGUCGCACUGGAAACUGGACAGCUUGAGUGCAGAAGAGGAGAGUGGAAUUCCACGUGUAGCGGUGAAAUGCGUAGAGAUGUGGAGGAACACCAGUGGCGAAGGCGACUCUCUGGGCUGUAACUGACGCUGAGGCGCGAAAGCGUGGGGAGCAAAC
This 424-nucleotide ribosomal RNA is filed under the name uncultured bacterium. RNAcentral's name for it is "bacterial SSU rRNA". It matches the Rfam family "Bacterial small subunit ribosomal RNA", at positions 356 to 773 of the family's 1533-position model. The record is from RNAcentral.